Canis lupus familiaris (dog) is the source of this 1510-nucleotide long non-coding RNA. RefSeq lists it as uncharacterized. The record is from RefSeq and is a predicted model, not a curated record. The transcript is spliced from 4 exons. Lineage: Eukaryota; Metazoa; Chordata; Mammalia; Carnivora; Canidae.
GAAUCCCGAUAUCCUUCUGAAAAGAGCUUGUGGUUGGAGUUUCUCUGAACCAGACCGAACUGGCAUUUCCUCCCAUUCCAAGUCUCCUUCUCUGCCUCCUACACACUUUUCUUAGGGAUUCUAGUCCACUGUCCUCCGUGGGCCCUUUUCAGUCUCAUUGGUAACGACACAAGACUGAGUGAUUAGAGAGAAUUCAGAAAGACACCAGCUCCUCUCGGUCAUCUCACUGAACAAACGCUGGCUCGUUCCACGUAUGUUCUUUCUCAGAUCUCCAGGGUGGGGAGGCUGCGACAACUGAAGACAGACCCACACUGGGAGCUACACAGCAGAUUAUUCAUCCAGGAAAAGAAAUGGAAUUCUAACCCAUGUUAUAACACAGAUAAACCUCGGAAACAUUAUGCGAAGUGAGGGAAGUUGGCUUGUCCCUUGGCUCCAGAGACAGUUCACCUGCUCCAGGCCGAACUCAACAGACCAUUCCUGCCUGCUCGGCACCUGCUGUGGUUCAGGGCUGGCCAUGUGAUGGCCACUGCUCCAAUCAGGGUGAAUCUGCAGGCCUCUUAUUAGGAAUUCUCUCACAAAUUCCUUUCUCUUCUGGAUGGUGCAGAAGGCAGGCGUGAGGGCCAGGACUGUUACAAUUUCUUCACUCCCUUAGGAGACACAUGUCAACACGUAGGAGAGAUUAAGGCUAAGAAAACCAGAGAGGAAUGGAGAGCUCUGAUGAAGUUAUGACUCGAGGAAGUCACAAGCCAUCCUACCUCUGGGGUUUUCUGUUUACUGAGCUAAUAUAUUCCCCUUAUUAUUGCAAACAAAAAGUUUUAAGUGGUUAAAGCAAGGCUCAUUUUUCUGCACUGCUCUCCACCCUACUAUCCCUCAUUCUAUCCAAACAGAUCUGCUUUCUGUUUCAGAAUACUGCUGAGCUUCUUCUGAGCAAAUUGGUCUCACCAAUGCAUUCUCUCUCCCUGGAUUAUUUAUUUGACACCCUGCCUGCUAUCAUUUCCCUACUUUGCUUGCCCUGGUUAAUUCUCAAUCAUCCUUAACAGUGAUGAAACAUCAUUUCUCCAAGAAAGCCUUUCUAGAUCCCCCGGUCUGGGUCAAGUUCUCCUACUAGGGACACCCAUAAUGUCAUAUAUCUUUCCUCUAUAAGACUUGUCACUAUGAUAAUCCAAUCAUUGUUUCAUUAGUUGACUGACAUCUAUCACCCACAUUUGUCUAUCCCCACUGCCUCACGUAGAGCCUUGUCCAUAACAGUAAUAGGAAAUAAAUAUCAGUUAAACAAAUGAUCACCUUUUAGCUGCCAAGGCUAAUUGUUAAGGAGUUGGUGUGGACCCCCAGUAAAAACAAAACAAAAACACUUUAUAAGCAAACCAACAGUUGAAAAGAGACGGCUUAAGAUGUGAACAAGCUGGGGCACCUGGGUGGCUCAGUGGUUGAGCAUCUGCCUUUGGCUCAGGGCAUGAUCCUGGGUGCUGGUAUCAAGUCCCACAUCAGGCUCCCCACAAGGAGCCUGCUU